GUAGUAGCAAAUACUCCAGCGAGGCCCUGGAGGACUGACGUGGAGAAGGGUUUCGUGUGAACAGCCGUUGCACACGAGUCAGUCGAUCCUAAGCCCUAGGAGAAAUCCGAUGUAUGGGAGCCGAUCGACGGCCCCGUCGGGCGAAAGGGAAUCCGGUUCCUAUUCCGGAACCCGGCAGCGGAACCGUUCCAAGUCGGGCCCCUCGCAAGAGAAGCUCGUCGGGGUAACCCAACAGGACCCGGAGACGCCGUCGGGAGAUCGGGGGAGAGUUUUCUUUUCUGCAUGAGCGUUCGAGUUCCCUGGAAUCCUCUAGCAGGGAGAUAGGGUUUGGAACGCGAAGAGCACCGCAGUUGCGGCGGUGUCCCGAUCAUCCCCUCGGACCUUGAAAAUCCGGGAGAGGGCCACGUGGAGGUGUCGCGCCGGUUCGUACCCAUAUCCGCAGCAGGUCUCCAAGGUGAAGAGCCUCUAGUCGAUAGACUAAUGUAGGUAAGGGAAGUCGGCAAAUUGGAUCCGUAACUUC
Molecule: ribosomal RNA, 520 nt
Filed under: Ceuthophilus sp. ICCM-2015
Lineage: Eukaryota; Metazoa; Arthropoda; Insecta; Orthoptera; Rhaphidophoridae
Description: eukaryotic LSU rRNA
Rfam family: Eukaryotic large subunit ribosomal RNA
Source: RNAcentral